UACGUAGGAGGCGAGCGUUGUCCGGAAUUACUGGGCGUAAAGAGCGCGUAGGCGGCACGGUACGACCGGUGUGAAAGCCCCCGGCUCAACUGGGGAGGGUCACCGGUAGCGGCCGAGCUCUGAGUGCAGGAGAGGGAAGUGGAACUCCGGGAGUAGCGGUGAAAUGCGUAGAGACCCGGAGGAACACCAGUGGCGAAGGCGGCUUCCUGGUCUGCAACUGACGCUGUGGCGCGAAAGCUAGGGGAGCAAACGGG
RNAcentral lists this ribosomal RNA (254 nucleotides) under uncultured bacterium. Its description in RNAcentral is "partial 16S ribosomal RNA". It matches the Rfam family "Bacterial small subunit ribosomal RNA", at positions 524 to 776 of the family's 1533-position model. The record is from RNAcentral.